RNAcentral lists this ribosomal RNA (500 nucleotides) under uncultured bacterium. RNAcentral describes it as "partial 16S ribosomal RNA". It matches the Rfam family "Bacterial small subunit ribosomal RNA", at positions 30 to 523 of the family's 1533-position model. The record is from RNAcentral.
AUUGAACGCUGGCGGAAUGCUUUACACAUGCAAGUCGAACGGCAGCACGGACUUCGGUCUGGUGGCGAGUGGCGAACGGGUGAGUAAUGUAUCGGAACGUGCCCAGUCGUGGGGGAUAACGUAGUGAAAAUUACGCUAAUACCGCAUACGAUCUAUGGAUGAAAGCGGGGGAUCGCAAGACCUCGCGCGAUUGGAGCGGCCGAUAUCAGAUUAGGUAGUUGGUGGGGUAAAGGCCCACCAAGCCAACGAUCUGUAGCUGGUCUGAGAGGACGACCAGCCACACUGGAACUGAGACACGGUCCAGACUCCUACGGGAGGCAGCAGUGGGGAAUUUUGGACAAUGGGCGAAAGCCUGAUCCAGCCAUUCCGCGUGCAGGAUGAAGGCCCUCGGGUUGUAAACCGCUUUUGUACAGAACGAAAAGGUUUCUACUAAUACUAGGAGCUCAUGACGGUACUGUAAGAAUAAGCACCGGCUAACUACGCGCCAGCCGCCGCGGUAA